This 332-nucleotide ribosomal RNA is filed under the name Mus cf. gratus TA-2014. RNAcentral's name for it is "partial small subunit ribosomal RNA". The record is from RNAcentral. Lineage: Eukaryota; Metazoa; Chordata; Mammalia; Rodentia; Muridae.
GCUUAGCCGUAAACUUGAAUACUUAAACUAACAAAAUUAUUUGCCAGAGAACUACUAGCUACAGCUUAAAACUCAAAGGACUUGGCGGUACUUUAUAUCCAUCUAGAGGAGCCUGUUCUAUAAUCGAUAAACCCCGCUCUACCUCACCAUCUCUUGCUAAUUCAGCCUAUAUACCGCCAUCUUCAGCAAACCCUAAAAAGGAGAUAUAGUAAGCACAAGAAUAUCCAUAAAAACGUUAGGUCAAGGUGUAGCCAAUGAGGUGGGAAGUAAUGGGCUACAUUUUCUUUUAAAAGAACAUUACGAUAUCCUUUAUGAAACUAAAGGACUAAGGA